This 298-nucleotide ribosomal RNA is filed under the name uncultured bacterium. RNAcentral describes it as "partial 16S ribosomal RNA". It matches the Rfam family "Bacterial small subunit ribosomal RNA", at positions 505 to 793 of the family's 1533-position model. The record is from RNAcentral.
GUGCCAGCAGCCGCGGUAAUACGGAGGGUGCGAGCGUUAAUCGGAAUUACUGGGCGUAAAGCGCAUGCAGGCGGCCUGUUAAGUCAGAUGUGAAAGACCCGGGGCGUUAACCUCGGAAUUGCAUUUGUAAACUAGGCAGGCUAGAGUCUUGUAGAGGGGGGUAGGAAGUUUCAGGUGUAGCGGUGAAAUAGCGUAGAGAUCUGAAGGAAUACCAGUGGCGAAGGCGGCCCCCUCGGACAAAGACUGACGCUCAGAUGCGAAAGCGUGGGGAGCAAACAGGAUUAGAUACCCUCGGUAG